RNAcentral lists this ribosomal RNA (747 nucleotides) under uncultured bacterium. Its description in RNAcentral is "bacterial SSU rRNA". It matches the Rfam family "Bacterial small subunit ribosomal RNA", at positions 33 to 773 of the family's 1533-position model. The record is from RNAcentral.
ACGCUGGCGGCAGGCCUAACACAUGCAAGUCGAGCGGCAGCACGGGUACUUGUACCUGGUGGCGAGCGGCGGACGGGUGAGUAAUGCCUAGGAAUCUGCCUGGUAGUGGGGGAUAACGCUCGGAAACGGACGCUAAUACCGCAUACGUCCUACGGGAGAAAGCAGGGGACCUUCGGGCCUCGCGCUAUCAGAUGAGCCUAGGUCGGAUUAGCUAGUUGGUGGGGUAAUGGCUCACCAAGGCGACGAUCCGUAACUGGUCUGAGAGGAUGAUCAGUCACACUGGAACUGAGACACGGUCCAGACUCCUACGGGAGGCAGCAGUGGGGAAUAUUGGACAAUGGGCGAAAGCCUGAUCCAGCCAUGCCGCGUGUGUGAAGAAGGUCUUCGGAUUGUAAAGCACUUUAAGUUGGGAGGAAGGGCAGUUACCUAAUACGUAUCUGUUUUGACGUUACCGACAGAAUAAGCACCGGCUAACUCUGUGCCAGCAGCCGCGGUAAUACAGAGGGUGCAAGCGUUAAUCGGAAUUACUGGGCGUAAAGCGCGCGUAGGUGGUUUGUUAAGUUGAAUGUGAAAUCCCCGGGCUCAACCUGGGAACUGCAUGCAAAACUGGCAAGCAAGAGUAUGGUAGAGGGUGGUGGAAUUUCCUGUGUAGCGGUGAAAUGCGUAGAUAUAGGAAGGAACACCAGUGGCGAAGGCGACCACCUGGACUGAUACUGACACUGAGGUGCGAGAGCGUGGGGAGCAAAC